RNAcentral lists this ribosomal RNA (517 nucleotides) under uncultured bacterium. RNAcentral's name for it is "bacterial SSU rRNA". It matches the Rfam family "Bacterial small subunit ribosomal RNA", at positions 24 to 518 of the family's 1533-position model. The record is from RNAcentral.
UCAGGACGAACGCUGGCGGCGUGCCUAACACAUGCAAGUCGAACGGGGAUUUGUUUCGGCAGAAUCCUAGUGGCGAACGGGUGAGUAACGCGUAGGCAACCUGCCCUCCGGCCGGGGACAACACUCCGAAAGGGGUGCUAAUACCGGAUACGAAAUCUGUGCCGCAUGGUACGGAUUUGAAAGAUGGCCUCUGUUUAUAAGCUAUCGCCGGGGGAUGGGCCUGCGUCCGAUUAGCUGGUUGGUGGGGUAACGGCCUACCAAGGCGACGAUCGGUAGCCGGUCUGAGAGGAUGAACGGCCACAUUGGGACUGAGACACGGCCCAGACUCCUACGGGAGGCAGCAGUGGGGAAUCUUCCGCAAUGGGCGCAAGCCUGACGGAGCAACGCCGCCGUGAGUGAGGAAGUUCUUCGGAACGUAAAGCUCUGUUGUUCCUGACGAACCUCCCUUCUAUCAACAACGGAGGGGACUGACGGUAGGGAACGAGGAAGCCACGGCUAACUACGUGCCAGCCGCGGC